RNAcentral lists this ribosomal RNA (301 nucleotides) under uncultured bacterium. RNAcentral describes it as "partial 16S ribosomal RNA". It matches the Rfam family "Bacterial small subunit ribosomal RNA", at positions 509 to 807 of the family's 1533-position model. The record is from RNAcentral.
CAGUAGCCGCGGGAAUACGGAGGGAGCUAGCGUUGUUCGGAAUUACUGGGCGUAAAGCGCACGUAGGCGGCUUUGUAAGUCAGAGGUGAAAGCCUGGAGCUCAACUCCAGAACUGCCUUUGAGACUGCAUCGCUUGAAUCCAGGAGAGGUGAGUGGAAUUCCGAGUGUAGAGGUGAAAUUCGUAGAUAUUCGGAAGAACACCAGUGGCGAAGGCGGCUCACUGGACUGGUAUUGACGCUGAGGUGCGAAAGCGUGGGGAGCAAACAGGAUUAGAUACCCCUGUAGUCCCUGUCUCUUAUAC